Long non-coding RNA from Bos taurus (domestic cattle), 1211 nucleotides. The record is from Ensembl. NCBI's taxonomy places the organism in Eukaryota, Metazoa, Chordata, Mammalia, Artiodactyla, Bovidae.
GUGGAACCCAGAUGCCAAGUCAACUGGUUUUAAUGAAGCACCUCCUAAGAUGUUUUCUGAGAUUCUUUGGCUUUGGUGAUGAGUGAGAGCUGUCAGAAUCACAGGUGGGAGGAUGGAGAGAGGAAGGUUAUAUAAAAGAGAACUUAGUCACACCAAGACUGAAAACAGGCAGAAUCAUCCAAGAUCCACUUCUUCUAGACCCUUACUUCUUCUUUAUCAGGGCAGCAGGCAGUAACCAAGAAAGGAAACAGGAGGAGAAAGAAGGGGUUACAACAGAUGCAGAACCAGGAGUUGACUUCUCCAUCAGGCUCCCACCCAGCAUCUUUGGAGCAGAAACCGGAGGAGAGAGGCAUGGGGGAGCCUGACAGGAAGUGAGGAUUCUGGGACUUCAAAUACACACAUUAGAAAAAACAAGCAACAUCUGCAAACAGUUCCAUUCUUUCAUCGAAGACACUCUUGCAAAGGCACUUCCUGGACAGUUGCGUGUAACGGAGCAAUCUCCAAGCAGUGGGAAAUCAGAGACACCGAACUGUUAGCACCCUUAAUAUUUGGUUUCCCUUGUAGUUCAGCUGGCAAAGAGCCUGCUUGCAAUGCAGGAGACCCGGGUUCAAUUCCUAGGUUGGGAAGAUCCCCUGGAGAAGGAAAUGGCAACUCACUCCAGUGUUCUUGCCUGGAGAAUCCCAAGGACAGAGGGGCCUGGCGGACUGCAGUCCAUGGGGUCGCAAGAGUUGGACACAACUUAGCGGCUAAACCACAACCACAAUAUUGGUUAAUUCUGCAUCAUGAUUUCAGAAUUGAUUCUGGAAGACUCUUCUGGCUCCUCUACACCCUAGGUGCCUAGGCCAUUGGGUGACCUACUUUAUUUAGAAGGGGAUGGGGGAAAGGACCCUGACAUAGAAGCAGACAAUUGAUGCCUGCCUCGGCAACAUGUAAACAAAAUCCACGCACCUUGCCCUGGGGAUCGCCUUGGUAGUAUCUAGUUUGACAGAAUUUGCCAUUCAGCAUCUCGCGGACCAGGCGCCUCAACCUGCUAGAAAUUCUAGAGGGAAAAAUCACGCCUGAAUGACUGCUGUCUGUGGCCUGUGGAAUCCUAAAUAGAAUGAAGCAGGCCUCCGACAAUCAAUAUUACUGACAUAUUAAUCUCUGUGAAUAAACUGUUGUGCACUUUAAGGCUGUCCCAGUCCUCCCAAAUAAUCUUUUAAAUGCAGUGG